GUUGAACCGUCGGGGAACAAUCGCGCGAACAAUCCUAUGAAUUACCGCAAAUAUUUGCCGGGCGUCAAUUGCGCGCGAUGUGUGCACGUUCUGCGUAUAUAAGAGUGUUUGUGUGUGUCUUCGCACGUUCGCUAUUAUUUGCGAAGGGUACACCUAUGCCGCGAUUAUCAUAGGCUUCGAAAAACGAAAAUUCUUUCCAAAUAAUAUUGGCGUGAAUGGGAUUCAACGAAUAAGUCGUAUCAGCAGCACUGGAAUCGCGACGAAUGAUGGAUGGAAGAAAAUAUAUAAUCACGACGAAGGAGCGCUGCGCGUGGAUAUUUCUAGACUUCAUUUCAGAAUGGACACACAUUUUUAAACCGGAGCCAGAAGUAAUAUGGGCACAGGUAUGAGCAUAACAGACAAGAGUGGAAACGGAGAGGCGCACGAGAGCAUCUCUUCUCCGGAGAUUCUGGUCGUGGUACCGCGAGGGCUCCGCCGUGAUGGAUAAUUAAGUGCUAACAAGCAGAGAAAUCCCCGUACUUCUCUCCGUGACUCGAGUUAAAUACACACGCGCGUACGCACAUGCACACACUCGCGCAGACUCGCCUAUAAAAUAAAGAAGCGUCUGUGGCAGCAUACUCUGUUGGACGAUAAGGAAAAUCUCAUUUUUCAUCUCUCUCUUGCGUCAUGCCUCCUCCAACAAGUUAUCCAGGAUCGUAGAAUUUUUUCUCAUCACCUCAGGCAGUACCGGAUUCGAAUGGUGAUCGU
Venturia canescens is the source of this 747-nucleotide long non-coding RNA. RefSeq lists it as uncharacterized. The transcript is spliced from 3 exons. The record is from RefSeq and is a predicted model, not a curated record. NCBI's taxonomy places the organism in Eukaryota, Metazoa, Arthropoda, Insecta, Hymenoptera, Ichneumonidae.